This 253-nucleotide ribosomal RNA is filed under the name uncultured bacterium. RNAcentral's name for it is "partial 16S ribosomal RNA". It matches the Rfam family "Bacterial small subunit ribosomal RNA", at positions 524 to 776 of the family's 1533-position model. The record is from RNAcentral.
UACGUAGGGGGCUAGCGGCGUCCGGAAUCAUUGUGCGUAAAGAGCGUGUAGGCGGCCCGGUAAGUCCGCUGUGAAAGUCGGGGGCUCAACCCUCGAAUGCCGGUGGAUACUGUCGGGCUAGAGUGCGGAAGAGGCGAGUGGAAUUCCUGGUGUAGCGGUGAAAUGCGCAGAUAUCAGGAGGAACACCAAUUGCGAAGGCAGCUCGCUGGGACGUAACUGACGCUGAGACGCGAAAGCGUGGGGAGCAAACAGG